This 492-nucleotide transfer RNA is filed under the name Mycolicibacterium flavescens. Its description in RNAcentral is "tmRNA*VADNGVVIVYRIGVCHRLFPF*". The stretch from base 1 to 94 matches the Rfam family "transfer-messenger RNA", at positions 274 to 374 of the family's 374-position model. The record is from RNAcentral. Lineage: Bacteria; Bacillati; Actinomycetota; Actinomycetes; Mycobacteriales; Mycobacteriaceae.
UCAGGAGAUCCGAGUAGAGGCGUAGCGAACUGCGCACGGAGAAGCCUUGAGGGAACGCCGUAGGACCCGGGUUCGAUUCCCGGCAGCUCCACUGAAAGGGCCGCAGAAAUGCGGCCCUUUUCUUUGCUCGACCCGGCCCCCGCUGGUCUGACUGCGUCGCGAAGCGAAAUCCAGCGACGCAAAUAGUUUCAGUGCCGCUAGGCAGUCAGCUGCACGGACGGGGUUGCUUGUUCGACCCGGAUGAUGGCGUCCCCAGGGAAAUGCUCGCGAUGAGUCUCGGCUGCGUCGGCGGGAUCUCCGGCGAUUACGACGCGUAAAGUGUGGAUUUCGCAGGUGUGGCUGAUAACGGUGUAGUGAUCGUGUACCGGAUUGGCGUCUGUCAUCGGUUGUUUCCUUUCUAAGUGUGAUGCAGUGACGACUACGUCAUAAAGUUACCGACGGUCCGAGCCUGGACGCGUCGGCUGAUCGACCCAUGAUGUGGAGGAGAGACGU